GAAACUACGCCUAUAUGAAGUCGGAAUUGCUAGUAAUCGCAGAUCAGCAUGCUGCGGUGAAUACGUUCCCGGGCCUUGUACACACCGCCCGUCACACCAUGAGAGUUGGGGAUACCCGAAGCCUGUGAGCUAACUUUUAGAGGCAGCAGUCGAAGGUAGAAUCAAUGAUUGGGGUGAAGUCGUAACAAGGUAUC
RNAcentral lists this ribosomal RNA (194 nucleotides) under uncultured bacterium. RNAcentral's name for it is "partial 16S ribosomal RNA". It matches the Rfam family "Bacterial small subunit ribosomal RNA", at positions 1307 to 1500 of the family's 1533-position model. The record is from RNAcentral.